UACGGAGGGUGCAAGCGUUAAUCGGAAUUACUGGGCGUAAAGCGCACGCAGGCGGUUUGUUAAGUCAGAUGUGAAAUCCCCGGGCUCAACCUGGGAACUGCAUCUGAUACUGGCAAGCUUGAGUCUCGUAGAGGGGGGUAGAAUUCCAGGUGUAGCGGUGAAAUGCGUAGAGAUCUGGAGGAAUACCGGUGGCGAAGGCGGCCCCCGGGACGAAGACUGACGUUCAGGUGCGAAAGCGUGGGGAGCAAACAGG
RNAcentral lists this ribosomal RNA (253 nucleotides) under uncultured bacterium. RNAcentral describes it as "partial 16S ribosomal RNA". It matches the Rfam family "Bacterial small subunit ribosomal RNA", at positions 524 to 776 of the family's 1533-position model. The record is from RNAcentral.